RNAcentral lists this ribosomal RNA (318 nucleotides) under Triticum aestivum (bread wheat). RNAcentral describes it as "partial small subunit ribosomal RNA". The record is from RNAcentral. Lineage: Eukaryota; Viridiplantae; Streptophyta; Magnoliopsida; Poales; Poaceae.
AUGUAUUGCGGUAAAAGCCGUGAUGCUACCAUUGUGCUUGAGGCCGUAGCAUCAGAGGACACAUGGAUUUGGCAUGCAUUCUUUGGGUUGCCGGGAACACUCAAUGAUAUCGAUGUCCUCAAUAGAUCUCAUUUGUUCAAAAGAUUAAUUUCUGGGGAUGCUCUAGCUUGCAACUACAAAAUCAUGGACAAUGAGUACUCAAUGGGAUACUAUCUCACCGAUGGCAUCUAUCCCGAAUGGGCAACUCUUGUGAAGUCCAUCAAGGAGAAAAAUGGGGUGCCCUUAACAAGAAAAGAGGCUCAUUUCACCAAGGCAUAA